AACCAUAGAAACCUGCGGAGUACCUGCGGAAGGAUCAUUAUAGAAAACACAUCUAUGCCCUAGGAGGAGGAGAGGGAAAGGCCAUUUGAUUGGGCUUUGCCUCUUCUUUUCCUGGGCAAACAACCAACACACAUGACUAGGGAAUAUGGAGUGGAGUGGAGUGAAGUGUGAGGGGGAGAGGAAUGGCUUGGCUUGUGAAUCUUCCCGCGUAUCCAUCACACACGCCACGCACAGAAACAA
RNAcentral lists this unclassified non-coding RNA (240 nucleotides) under soil metagenome. RNAcentral describes it as "partial contains 5.8S ribosomal RNA, internal transcribed spacer 2, and large subunit ribosomal RNA". The record is from RNAcentral.